AUGAGUAAUAUUAGAUAUAGAUUAAAGGUAUUCAAGUUUCAUAUUGUUGAAAUUAUCAGAGGAGGACUUUCCACUACCUUCAGAUACGGACCCUCCAUUACCUGCAAAUGCACAUUGCACAAAUGACUCCAAAAUGUAUUGAGGAGAAUAUUUUUCUAUUACACUUGUAGUAAGCUAUCAUUGUAUCUUUUUCAUUCAUUUUUGUUGUCCAUAAAUACUGGAUGUAUUUGUAUAGAAAAUACAUCGAAUAUUUUUUGUCAUAUCAUUUCUUCGUCUCUACUUCAUCUCCUCUGCAUCUUUUUUAUCAUGUAUCAAAGAGCCAUGAGUGAAGCAAACCCAGAUUCAAUUUCAUCCACCAAACCUCAACCCGAACCCAACACUCAAAAUCAAAACACCCAAAAUCAUGACAGUAAUCAUCACCAUCCCGCAAGUCUAUAUUUUCUUCAACCCGGUGAAGGAGCUUCCUCACUGCUAGUGCCAGAGCUUCUGACGACUGAAAACUAUGUCACCUGGGCAAGGACUAUGUGAAGUGCUCUCAACAUCAGAAACAAACUUGGUUUCAUUGAUGCAAACUAAAAGGGUACUGGGAUGAGCUCGACGUAUAUGAACCAAUGCCUCUAUGUACAUUUGGCUCAGUCAAGACCUUGACAGACUAUCAUCAUCACAACAAAGUCAUGCAAUUUCUCAUGAGACUUCAAGAUUCAUAUGACCACAUCCGAGGUCAAAUACUCAUAUAUGACCCCCUUCCAACACUGAACCAUGUCCUAUCUCUAGUCCAACAAGAAGAAAGACAUCACCAGCUGCACUUGCUUCCACUUCUAGUGCCAGCAGCCAUGCUCUCUAAGGGUCCACACCAACGAAGCACCUCAACUUCACGCAGGGACAAACUCUAUUGCUCUCAUUGCAACAUCUCUGGACACUCCUUGGAAAGAUGUUUCAAGGCCAAUCCAAGCUUAUCAGUUUGCUCACAUUGCCACAUUCUUGGCCAUAAGAAAGAAAAAUGUUACAAGCUCAAUGGUUUUCCUCCUGGACACAAACAUUCCUUCAAAUAUAGAAUAUCUACUAAUCAAGUUAUUCUUGCAUAGGGAUAGGUCAAUACUGGUUCGAUCAUUACUCAAGAACAAUAUAGCCAUCUCAUUGUUUUACUUCAAAAUCAACCACCUGAGGCCAUUCUUCCUAUUGGCAACCAAGUCCAAAUCUCUUUUCCUAUAGUCGACUCUCCUAUGUCUGGUAUAGAUUUUUGUCUAGCUACACAGCAUGUUGAUCCAGCAUGUAUCAUCAAUACCAAUGCAACAAAUCACAUGAUUUGUAGCCCAUGUUGAUCCACAAUGGUAAUUCUGUAGGUGCCACUCACGUUGGAGAUGUGUGUUUAACACCUGAACUAACUUUAAAAAAAGUGCUCUAUGUUCCCACA
Molecule: long non-coding RNA, 1414 nt
Organism: Carya illinoinensis
Lineage: Eukaryota; Viridiplantae; Streptophyta; Magnoliopsida; Fagales; Juglandaceae
Exons: 2
Source: RefSeq, a predicted model, not a curated record